GUUGAGUUGAGUUUCGCUUAUCACUUUUAGAGUUGUUGAUCUGACAAACCUAGACCCAUCAAAUUUGAACAUCAACAAUUUAAAUAGAAAAUAGGUAAUUUUUAUAUCUCAUCUCUAAAUAUUGCUCUGUGUUUUCACCAUCACUUUCACAAUCACAGCCAUAUGCUUCGUUGAAAGAAGAGAUUUACCUUUCAACGGGAAGUGCUGUAUCUGAGAGAAAAUGGAACCAGGGAUUUUUUAACAUGGAAAUAUUUUUGUGGAAUUAAAUUAAAACAUACGUUCUGAAACCCUGGCAAAGCAUGAUUCAAACAGGGGGUUCAACAUUACAAACCCACAAACUCAGCAAUUCGAGCAUUUAACUUAC
Molecule: unclassified non-coding RNA, 364 nt
Filed under: Hevea brasiliensis (rubber tree)
Lineage: Eukaryota; Viridiplantae; Streptophyta; Magnoliopsida; Malpighiales; Euphorbiaceae
Source: RNAcentral